Small nuclear RNA from Callithrix jacchus (white-tufted-ear marmoset), 107 nucleotides. The record is from Ensembl. Lineage: Eukaryota; Metazoa; Chordata; Mammalia; Primates; Cebidae.
GUGCUCGCUUCGGCAGCACAUAUACUAAAACUGGAACAAUACAGAGAAGAUUAGCAUGGCCGCUGUGCAAGGAUGACAUGCAAAUUCGUGAAGUGUUCCAUAUUUAA